Molecule: ribosomal RNA, 455 nt
Filed under: uncultured Desulfobulbus sp.
Lineage: Bacteria; Pseudomonadati; Thermodesulfobacteriota; Desulfobulbia; Desulfobulbales; Desulfobulbaceae
Description: bacterial SSU rRNA
Rfam family: Bacterial small subunit ribosomal RNA
Source: RNAcentral
CGGUGGAGUAUGUGGUUUAAUUCGAUGCAACGCGAAGAACCUUACCUGGUCUUGACAUCCCGGAGACCCUUAGGAACUAGGGGUGCUUCCAUCUGGAGAAUCUGGAGACAGGUGCUGCAUGGCUGUCGUCAGCUCGUGUCGUGAGAUGUUGGGUUAAGUCCCGCAACGAGCGCAACCCUUGCCUUUAGUUGCCAGCAGUUCGGCUGGGCACUCUAAAGGGACUGCCGGUGUUAAACCGGAGGAAGGUGGGGAUGACGUCAAGUCCUCAUGGCCUUUAUGACCAGGGCUACACACGUACUACAAUGGCCGAUACAAAGGGCAGCGACACUGCGAGGUGAAGCCAAUCCCGUAAAAUCGGUCUCAGUCCGGAUUGGAGUCUGCAACUCGACUCCAUGAGGUUGGAAUCGCUAGUAAUCGUGGAUCAGCAUGCCACGGUGAAUACGUUCCCGGGCCUU